Molecule: ribosomal RNA, 285 nt
Filed under: uncultured Moraxella sp.
Lineage: Bacteria; Pseudomonadati; Pseudomonadota; Gammaproteobacteria; Moraxellales; Moraxellaceae
Description: partial 16S ribosomal RNA
Rfam family: Bacterial small subunit ribosomal RNA
Source: RNAcentral
ACAUUUAGGAAUCUGCCUAGUAGUGGGGGAUAGCUCGGGGAAACUCGAAUUAAUACCGCAUACGACCUACGGGUGAAAGGGGGCGCAAGCUCUUGCUAUUAGAUGAGCCUAAAUCAGAUUAGCUAGUUGGUGGGGUAAAGGCCCACCAAGGCGACGAUCUGUAACUGGUCUGAGAGGAUGAUCAGUCACACCGGAACUGAGACACGGUCCGGACUCCUACGGGAGGCAGCAGUGGGGAAUAUUGGACAAUGGGGGCAACCCUGAUCCAGCCAUGCCGCGUGUGUG